RNAcentral lists this ribosomal RNA (497 nucleotides) under uncultured bacterium. RNAcentral describes it as "partial 16S ribosomal RNA". It matches the Rfam family "Bacterial small subunit ribosomal RNA", at positions 28 to 507 of the family's 1533-position model. The record is from RNAcentral.
GUUGAACGCUGGCGGCGGGCCUAAUACAUGCAAGUCGAGCGAACGGAGGAAGAUCGUUCUUGUCUUAUGUUAGCGGCGGAUGGGUGAGUACUACGUGGAUAACCGAUCUAUAAGAAUGAGAUAAGUUCGGGAGACCUAAUACAGUAUCGGUUAAGAGGUUGAACCUGGUGGUUCUUAGGUGAUCAACGUAUCUGCUGUCCCUAGGACGGAUUACCUAGCUGGAUUAGCUAGUUGGUAAGGUAACGGCUUACCAAGGCAACGAUGCAUAGCUGACCUGAGAGGAUGAUCAGUCACACUGGAACUGAGACACGGUCCAGACUCCUACGGGAGGCAGCAGUAGGGAAUAUUGCGCAAUGGGCGAAAGCCUGAUGGAGCCACGCCGCGUGAGUGAUGAAGGUCUUCGGAUUGUAAAGCUCUGUAAUUAGGGAAGAACAUAUGUGAAAGAAACUCUGGCUAUCUUGACGGUACCAACUGAGAAAGCCCCGGCUAACUUCGUG